This 969-nucleotide ribosomal RNA is filed under the name fungal sp. HSF4 LX-2016. Its description in RNAcentral is "SSU rRNA". It matches the Rfam family "Eukaryotic small subunit ribosomal RNA", at positions 129 to 1106 of the family's 1831-position model. Lineage: Eukaryota; Fungi. The record is from RNAcentral.
ACCUUACUACUUGGAUAACCGUGGUAAUUCUAGAGCUAAUACAUGCUGAAAACCCCGACUUCGGGAGGGGUGUAUUUAUUAGAUAAAAAACCAAUGCCCUUCGGGGCUCCUUGGUGAUUCAUGAUAACUUAACGGAUCGCAUGGCCUUGCGCCGGCGACGGUUCAUUCAAAUUUCUGCCCUAUCAACUUUCGAUGGUAAGGUAUUGGCUUACCAUGGUUUCAACGGGUAACGGGGAAUUAGGGUUCGGUUCCGGAGAGGGAGCCUGAGAAACGGCUACCACAUCCAAGGAAGGCAGCAGGCGCGCAAAUUACCCAAUCCCGACACGGGGAGGUAGUGACAAUAAAUACUGAUACAGGGCUCUUUUGGGUCUUGUAAUUGGAAUGAGUACAAUUUAAACCCCUUAACGAGGAACAAUUGGAGGGCAAGUCUGGUGCCAGCAGCCGCGGUAAUUCCAGCUCCAAUAGCGUAUAUUAAAGUUGUUGCAGUUAAAAAGCUCGUAGUUGAAUCUUGGGUCUGGCUGGCCGGUCCGCCUCACCGCGUGUACUGGUCCGGCCGGGCCUUUCCUUCUGGAGAGCCCCAUGCCCUUCACUGGGUGUGCGGGGGAACCAGGACUUUUACUUUGAAAAAAUUAGAGUGUUCAAAGCAGGCCUUUGCUCGAAUACGUUAGCAUGGAAUAAUAGAAUAGGACGUGCGGUUCUAUUUUGUUGGUUUCUAGAACCGCCGUAAUGAUUAAUAGGGAUAGUCGGGGGCAUCAGUAUUCAAUUGUCAGAGGUGAAAUUCUUAGAUUUAUUGAAGACUAACUACUGCGAAAGCAUUUGCCAAGGAUGUUUUCAUUAAUCAGUGAACGAAAGUUAGGGGAUCGAAGACGAUCAGAUACCGUCGUAGUCUUAACCGUAAACUAUGCCGACUAGGGAUCGGGCGGUGUUUCUAUCUUGACCCGCUCGGCACCUUACGAGAAAUCAAAGUUU